Molecule: ribosomal RNA, 301 nt
Filed under: uncultured bacterium
Lineage: Bacteria
Description: partial 16S ribosomal RNA
Rfam family: Bacterial small subunit ribosomal RNA
Source: RNAcentral
CAGCAGCCACGGUAAUGCGUAGGUGGCAAGCGUUGUCCGGAAUUAUUGGGCGUAAAGCGCGCGCAGGCGGAUCAGUUAGUCUGUCUUAAAAGUUCGGGGCUUAACCCCGUGAUGGGAUGGAAACUGCUGAUCUAGAGUAUCGGAGAGGAAAGUGGAAUUCCUAGUGUAGCGGUGAAAUGCGUAGAUAUUAGGAAGAACACCAGUGGCGAAGGCGACUUUCUGGACGAAAACUGACGCUGAGGCGCGAAAGCCAGGGGAGCGAACGGGAUUAGAUACCCCAGUAGUCCCUGUCUCUUAUACC